AAGAUCUGUGGAGAGCAUUUAAAAAUUUCAGUGAUGAUCAGUUGCUUGGAGCUAUAACGCUUUUGUGGAGAAUCUUCAGUGACAAACCUUUCACCGAGCUUGAAAAGAUGGCCCAUUUCGCUGGACGGGGUUUCAACUCUGGUCUUCUGCUCCUCAAUCUUACGCGCAUCAGGAGCCAGGCUGAGAAAUGGCAGGCCGCCCUCCAGUCGGCCUUGGAAUUUGCUCAACCUGAACUUAGCGACCAGAAAGUUUUCAACAUUAUGAUGAAUUUAAAUCCUGAACAUUUCUACGAGAUGGACUGCGAAUGGAAUUUCCGCAGAGGUUACUGCAUAAACAUCACCCAUCGUUGCCCGGGGAUGGUAGCCAACGGCGUCAAUGUCGUUCAUGGAAAUA
Hyalella azteca is the source of this 393-nucleotide long non-coding RNA. RefSeq lists it as uncharacterized. The transcript is spliced from 3 exons. NCBI's taxonomy places the organism in Eukaryota, Metazoa, Arthropoda, Malacostraca, Amphipoda, Hyalellidae. The record is from RefSeq and is a predicted model, not a curated record.